Molecule: non-coding RNA, 93 nt
Organism: Drosophila melanogaster (fruit fly)
Lineage: Eukaryota; Metazoa; Arthropoda; Insecta; Diptera; Drosophilidae
Gene: mir-287
Product: mir-287 precursor RNA
Exons: 1
Source: RefSeq
GGACGCCGGGGAUGUAUGGGUGUGUAGGGUCUGAAAUUUUGCACACAUUUACAAUAAUUGUAAAUGUGUUGAAAAUCGUUUGCACGACUGUGA